This 520-nucleotide ribosomal RNA is filed under the name uncultured Scutellospora. RNAcentral describes it as "SSU rRNA". It matches the Rfam family "Eukaryotic small subunit ribosomal RNA", at positions 569 to 1093 of the family's 1831-position model. The record is from RNAcentral. Lineage: Eukaryota; Fungi; Glomeromycota; Glomeromycetes; Diversisporales; Gigasporaceae.
AGCAGCCGCGGUAAUUCCAGCUCCAAUAGCGUAUAUUAAAGUUGUUGCAGUUAAAAAGCUCGUAGUUGAAUUUCGGGAUUCUACCGUUGGUCGGGCUAUUGUCUGUACUGGCGUGUAGAAUUUCUACCUUCUGGGGAACUAUCAUGUUAUUAAUUUAGCGUGGUAGGAAACCAGGACCUUUACCUUGAAAAAAUUAGAGUGUUCAAAGCAGGCUUAUGUCUGAAUACAUUAGCAUGGAAUAAUAAAAUAGGACGGUGGUCCUGUUUUGUUGGUUUCUGAAUCACCGUAAUGAUUAAUAGGGAUAGUUGGGGGCAUUAGUAUUCAAUUGUCAGAGGUGAAAUUCUUGGAUUUAUUGAAGACUAACUACUGCGAAAGCAUUUGCCAAGGAUGUUUUCAUUAAUCAAGAACGAAAGUUAGGGGAUCGAAGACGAUCAGAUACCGUCGUAGUCUUAACCAUAAACUAUGCCGACUAGGGAUCGGAUGAAGUUAAUUUUUUAAUGACUCAUUCGGCGCCUUACGG